GGGACCAUUCCACGGUCUCCGUGUCGUAGCUAACGCAUUAAGUUCCCGCCUGGGAGUACGGCCGCAAGGCUAAAACUCAAAGGAAUUGACGGGGCCCGCACAAGCGGCGGAGCAUGCGGAUUAAUUCGAUGCAACGCGAAGAACCUUACCAAGGCUUGACAUAUACGAGAACGCACUGGAGACAGUGAACUCUUUGGACACUCGUAUACAGGUGGUGCAUGGUUGUCGUCAGCUCGUGUCGUGAGAUGUUGGGUUAAGUCCCGCAACGAGCGCAACCCUCGUCCUAUGUUGCCAGCACGUAAUGGUGGGAACUCAUGGGAUACUGCCGGGGUCAACUCGGAGGAAGGUGGGGAUGAGGUCAAAUCAUCAUGCCCCUUAUGUCUUGGGCUUCACGCAUGCUACAAUGGCCCAGUACAAUGGGCUGCGAUACCGCAAGGUGGAGCGAAUCCCAAAAAGCUGGUCUCAGUUCGGAUUGAGGUCUGCAACUCGACCUCAUGAAGUCGGAGUCGCUAGUAAUCGUAGAUCAGCAACGCUACGGUGAAUACGUUCCCGGGCCUUGUACACACCGCCCGUCAAGUGCAUGUAAAGUCGGUAACACCCGAAGCCGGUGGCCUAACCUUUUGGAGG
Molecule: ribosomal RNA, 627 nt
Filed under: Agrococcus sp. UA-AR0119
Lineage: Bacteria; Bacillati; Actinomycetota; Actinomycetes; Micrococcales; Microbacteriaceae
Description: bacterial SSU rRNA
Rfam family: Bacterial small subunit ribosomal RNA
Source: RNAcentral